RNAcentral lists this long non-coding RNA (199 nucleotides) under Ricinus communis (castor bean). RNAcentral describes it as "long non-coding RNA (RCOM_LNC003583)". Lineage: Eukaryota; Viridiplantae; Streptophyta; Magnoliopsida; Malpighiales; Euphorbiaceae. The record is from RNAcentral.
AAGAAAUAGGUGUUGUACCCGGUAUCACGUCGAUACAGAAUUCUAUCUCUCUAUUGGGCGGUAAUCCAGGUAGUUCUUCUGGAAACACAUCAAGAAACUCGCAAACCACCGGAACGUCUUCGACGCAACCUUUCCUUGCAGAGGUAUCCCUAACCAAAGCCAAAUAUCCCUGACAUCCACGGCGAAGCAUCCGCCUAGC